UUAGUCACCCGUACCCCAAACCGACUCAGGUGUUCAGGUAGAGAAUACCAAGGAGAUCGAGAGAAUCGUGGUUAAGGAACUCGGCAAAAUGCCCCCGUAACUUCGGGAGAAGGGGGGCCCGCGGUGUGAAGGGACUUGCUCCUGGAGCACCAUACGGCCGCAGAGACCAGUGGGAAGCGACUGUUUACUAAAAACACAGGUCCGUGCCAAGUCGCAAGACGAUGUAUACGGACUGACGCCUCCCCGGUGCUGGAAGGUUAAGAGGAACGGUUAGCCGCAAGGCGAAGCUGAGAAUUUAAGCCCCAGUAAACGGCGGUGGUAACUAUAACCAUCCUAAGGUAGCGAAAUUCCUUGUCGGGUAAGUUCCGACCUGCACGAAUGGCGUAACGACUUCCCAGCUGUCUCAACCGCGAACUCGGCGAAAUUGCACUACGAGUAAAGAUGCUCGUUACGCGCAGAAGGACGGAAAGACCCCGUGACCUUUACUACAGCUUGGUAUUGGUGUUCGGUGUGGCUUGUGUAGGAUAAGUGGGAGACUGUGAAGCUUGGACGCUAGUUCAGGUGGAGUCAUUGUUGAAAUACCACUCUGGUCACUCUGGAUAUCAAACUUCGAACCGUGAUCCGGUUCAGGGACAGUGCCUGGUGGGUAGUUUAACUGGGGCGGUUGCCUCCUAAAAAGUAACGGAGGCGCCCAAAGGUUCCCUCAACCUGGUUGGCAAUCAGGUGGCGAGUGUAAGUGCACAAGGGAGCUUGACUGUGAGACUGACAAGUCGAGCAUGGACGAAAGUCGGGACUAGUGAUCCGGCAGUGGCUUGUGGAAGCGCUGUCGCUCAACGGAUAAAAGGUACCUCGGGGAUAACAGGCUGAUCUUGCCCAAGAGUCCAUAUCGACGGCAUGGUUUGGCACCUCGAUGUCGGCUCGUCGCAUCCUGGGGCUGGAGUAGGUCCCAAGGGUUGGGCUGUUCGCCCAUUAAAGCGGUACGCGAGCUGGGUUUAGAACGUCGUGAGACAGUUCGGUCCCUAUCCUCUGCGCGCGCAGGAAAUUUGAGAAGAUCUAUCCCUAGUACGAGAGGACCGGGAUGGACGAACCUCUGGUGUGUCAGUUGUUCCGCCAGGAGCACCGCUGAUUAGCUACGUUCGGAAUGGAUAACCGCUGAAAGCAUCUAAGCGGGAAGCCGGCUUCAAGAUGAGAUUUCCAUGCCUUCGGGCGAGAGGCUCCCAGCUAGACUACUGGGUUGAUAGGCAGGAUGUGGAAGUGCGGACUAAAGACGCAUGGAGCUGACCUGUACUAAUAAGCCGAUAACUUGAUAA
RNAcentral lists this ribosomal RNA (1310 nucleotides) under metagenome. RNAcentral describes it as "bacterial LSU rRNA". It matches the Rfam family "Bacterial large subunit ribosomal RNA", at positions 1634 to 2925 of the family's 2925-position model. The record is from RNAcentral.